RNAcentral lists this ribosomal RNA (207 nucleotides) under uncultured bacterium. Its description in RNAcentral is "partial 16S ribosomal RNA". It matches the Rfam family "Bacterial small subunit ribosomal RNA", at positions 568 to 774 of the family's 1533-position model. The record is from RNAcentral.
CGCGUAGGCGGUCUGGUAAGUCCCGUGUGAAAUCCCUCGGCUCAACUGAGGAAUGGCACGGGAAACUGCUUGGCUUGAGUUCGGGAGAGGGAAGCGGAAUUCCGGGUGUAGCGGUGAAAUGCGUAGAUAUCCGGAGGAACACCGGUGGCGAAGGCGGCUUCCUGGACCGACACUGACGCUGAGGCGCGAAAGCUAGGGGAGCAAACG